This 1572-nucleotide ribosomal RNA is filed under the name Triticum aestivum (bread wheat). Its description in RNAcentral is "partial small subunit ribosomal RNA". Lineage: Eukaryota; Viridiplantae; Streptophyta; Magnoliopsida; Poales; Poaceae. The record is from RNAcentral.
AUGGACCUCAGGGCGCUGUACAUGUACGCCGCCGUCCUAGCCCUGCUCCUCUGCUCCGCGGCGACCUUCAUCCAGAGCCCCACCGACGUGUUCGGCCCGGUGGCGCUCCUCGAGCCGACCCCGUCCUCGGCGCGCGACUUCGGCGCCGUCGUCUCCGACGCGCCCUUCGCGAUCCUUCGGCCGGGGUCCUCCGCCGACAUCGCGCUCCUCCUGGGCGCGCUGUCGUCCGCACCGCCGCGCCCGAGAGCGACCGUGGCUGCGCGCGGCGUGGGGCACUCGCUCCAGGGCCAGGCGCAGGCGCGCGACGGCAUUGUGGUGGAGACGCGUUCCCUGCCACGCAGCGUGGCGGUGGUCGUGGCGGCGCGGGCGGGCGGCGAGGCCACCGCGCGCGCGUACGCGGACGUGGGCGCCGGCGCUCUGUGGGUGGAGGUACUGGAGGAGUGCCUGAAGGCCGGCCUGGCGCCGCUGUCCUGGACGGACUACUUGUACCUCACCGUGGGCGGGACGCUGUCCAAUGCCGGCAUCAGCGGCCAGGCGUUCAAGCAUGGCCCGCAGAUCAGCAACGUCCUGCAGCUCCAAGUCGUCACAGGGAAUGGGGAGGUCGUGACAUGCUCACGCACCAAGAGCCCGGAUCUCUUCUUCGCAGUUCUUGGUGGUCUUGGCCAGUUCGGCAUCAUCACCAGGGCAAGGAUUCUACUCCAAGAAGCUCCUCCAAAGGUGCGAUGGGUGAGGGCCUUCUACGACAGCUUCGAAACAUUCACGAAGGACCAAGAGCUUCUGAUCUCAAUGCCGGAGCAGGUGGACUACGUGGAGGGGUUCAUGGUUCUGGAUGAGCACUCCAUCCACAGCUCAUCCAUUGCCUUCCCCGCUCGCAUCGAUUUCAGCCCAGACUUCGGCUCCAAUGGCAAGAGGAAGGUCUACUACUGCAUAGAGUUUGCAGUGCAUGACUUCGGCUCCAGUGUCGACAAUGUUGUGGAGCUGGUGGCAGGGAAGAUGAGCCACAUGAGGCCCCACAUGUACAGUGUGGAGGUGUCCUACUUCGACUUCCUGAACAGGGUGAGGAUGGAGGAGGAGAGCCUGAGGAGCCAGGGGCUCUGGGACGUGCCUCACCCCUGGCUCAACAUGUUCGUGCCCAAGCAUGGCGUCGCUCAGCUCAAGGACCUGCUCAUGGACACCGUCUUGGCAGGAUACUUCCAGGGGGCCAUCCUUGUCUACCCUCUCCUCACUGACAAGUGGGACAGGAACACGUCGGCGGUCAUCCCGUCGGCGCCGGACGGGGUGAUGUACAUCUUCAGCGUGCUCCGGUCGGCCGACCCGUCGCGGUGCGGCCGCGGCUGCGUCGAGGAGAUCCUGGAGCAGCACCGCCGGGUGGCCGACGAGGCGUGCCGGGUCGGCGGCGGCAUCGGCGCCAAGCAGUACCUUGCCCGGCAGCCCACGCAGGCGCAUUGGCGCAGCCAUUUCGGGCCCAGCUGGGACCGCUUCCUGGCCCGCAAGGCCCGGUACGACCCAGUGCGUGUGCUUGGGCCGGGCCAAGGCAUUUUUCCUUGGACGGAUUCCGCGAGCUCCAUGUGA